RNAcentral lists this ribosomal RNA (252 nucleotides) under uncultured bacterium. Its description in RNAcentral is "partial 16S ribosomal RNA". It matches the Rfam family "Bacterial small subunit ribosomal RNA", at positions 524 to 776 of the family's 1533-position model. The record is from RNAcentral.
UACGGGGGGUGCAAGCGUUGUCCGGAUUUACUGGGCGUAAAGGGCGCGUAGGCGGCUUGAUCAGUCGGACUUUUAAGAGCGGGGCUCAACCCCGUGGUGGGUUCGGGACGGUCGAGCUGGGGCGCGGUCGAGGGGGAUGGAAUGCCGGGUGUAGUGGUGAAAUGCGUAGAUAUCAGGAGGAACACCGGUGGCGAAAGCGACUCACUGGCCCGAAUCUGACACUGAGGCACGAAGGCCAGGGGAGCAAACGGG